Molecule: ribosomal RNA, 158 nt
Filed under: uncultured bacterium
Lineage: Bacteria
Description: partial 16S ribosomal RNA
Rfam family: Bacterial small subunit ribosomal RNA
Source: RNAcentral
UGAGGGAAUAUUGGUCAAUGGGCGCGAGCCUGAACCAGCCAAGUCGCGUGAGGGAGGACGGCCCUACGGGUUGUAAACCUCUUUUGCCGGGGAGCAACGGGCGUCACGUGUGGCGCCACUGAGAGUACCCGGAGAAAAGCAUCGGCUAACUCCGUGCC